AAACCUGCGAAACUCGAAUGAACGAACGGAGAGAUUCAUCGUCACUCCGCGGCGUACUAGCCCGCGCCUCGAUGCGCAGCGCCUCGGCGCCGCGCACGGGUCGGGCGUGUCGACGUCCGCGGACGGCGUGCACUUCUCUCUCAGUAAACGAAUACGCCGCGACCCGUUCGAAGCGGGCGGUCUAAGCGCGGUACGCGGGAGCCGAGCGGCGACGUCUCAACAACGCCCGCCGCUCGACCGCGACCCGCGCCGACCGCCGUCGGACGGUAGUGGACCAACUCGAAUCGCGCACGCGCCUCGCGCGCGUCAGGCCCGACGCAAGCGUUCUCGCGUCGUCGCCCGUUUCCUGCCUAUGCGCGGACGCGGGCGCGGCGCCGCUGCCGUCGCAGCCGGUACAGUCUCUGACCGUGCGCGUUUCAGUCGGCGGCGUUUCAGUUUCGGGCACUCGCAGGAC
RNAcentral lists this ribosomal RNA (454 nucleotides) under Aporia procris. RNAcentral describes it as "partial 28S ribosomal RNA". Lineage: Eukaryota; Metazoa; Arthropoda; Insecta; Lepidoptera; Pieridae. The record is from RNAcentral.